AGAGUUUGAUCAUGGCUCAGGAUGCACGCUGGCGGCGUGCCUAAUACAUGCUAAGUCGGACGCUUUGUGCUUAAUUGAUAUGACGAGCUUGCUCUGAUUUGAUUUUUUGAUUUCAAAGAGUGGCGCACGGGUGAGUAACACGUGGGUAACCUACCUCUUAGCAGGGGAUAACAUUUGGAAACAAGUGCUAAUACCUGUAUAAUACCAACAACCGCAUGGUUGUUGGUUGAAAGAUGGUUCUGCUAUCACUAAGAGAUGGACCCGCGGUGCAUUAGCUAGUUGGUAAGGUAAUGGCUUACCAAGGCAAUGAUGCAUAGCCGAGUUGAGAGACUGAUCGGCCACAAUGGGACUGAGACACGGCCCAUACUCCUACGGGAGGCAGCAGUAGGGAAUCUUCCACAAUGGGCGCAAGCCUGAUGGAGCAACGCCGCGUGUGUGAUGAAGGGUUUCGGCUCGUAAAACACUGUUAUAAGAGAAGAACGGCACUGAGAGUAACUGUUCAGUGUGUGACGGUAUCUUACCAGAAAGGAACGGCUAAAUACGUGCCAGCAGCCGCGGUAAUACGUAUGUUCCAAGCGUUAUCCGGAUUUAUUGGGCGUAAAGCGAGCGCAGACGGUUAUUUAAGUCUGAAGUGAAAGCCCUCAGCUCAACUGAGGAAUUGCUUUGGAAACUGGAUGACUUGAGUGCAGUAGAGGAAAGUGGAACUCCAUGUGUAGCGGUGAAAUGCGUAGAUAUAUGGAAGAACACCAGUGGCGAAGGCGGCUUUCUGGACUGUAACUGACGUUGAGGCUCGAAAGUGUGGGUAGCAAACAGGAUUAGAUACCCUGGUAGUCCACACCGUAAACGAUGAGUGCUAGACGUUCGAGGGUUUCCGC
This 875-nucleotide ribosomal RNA is filed under the name uncultured bacterium. RNAcentral's name for it is "bacterial SSU rRNA". It matches the Rfam family "Bacterial small subunit ribosomal RNA", at positions 8 to 837 of the family's 1533-position model. The record is from RNAcentral.